This 293-nucleotide long non-coding RNA is filed under the name Rattus norvegicus (Norway rat). Its description in RNAcentral is "long non-coding RNA NONRATT013467". Lineage: Eukaryota; Metazoa; Chordata; Mammalia; Rodentia; Muridae. The record is from RNAcentral.
CUCGACAUCAACAGUCUCGUGGAAAGUAUCAACAGUGGCACUCCGGCCACUGGAUUCUCCUUUAUAUCCAAUUCUCUAAAAAUACUCUCUUCUCUUCAAGAGCCCAAAGAAAUAGGAGGGCACAAUGAAAAGAAAGUACACAUUCUUGUUCCACUCGUUGGAAGGUAUGAUAUUUUCUUGAGAUUCAUGGAAAACUUUGAAAGUACGUGUAUUAUCCCAAAGCAAAAUGUAAAGCUCGUCAUCAUCCUUUUCAGCAGGGAUUCUGGCCAGGAGUCCAUCAAACACAUUGAGCU